Molecule: long non-coding RNA, 564 nt
Organism: Cydia fagiglandana
Lineage: Eukaryota; Metazoa; Arthropoda; Insecta; Lepidoptera; Tortricidae
Exons: 3
Source: RefSeq, a predicted model, not a curated record
GCAAUAUAAUUUAUGUAUUUUUGUAACUUCUCCACUCCACCAUUCAAUUUCUUUUUCGGUACAUUGUUUAAAAUUGUACCUGUACAGUUUUUAAAGCUCGCCAUGGACUACAACAAUGGUUCCCGCAAGUGUGUUAAAUGCGGAACAUCACGUAAUCAGGACAAUACAAUUACUACACACCGAUUCCCUUUCCCGGGAACUAAUAAUAUUUUGAGGGCAAUGGCGUGGGCUACAUAUUGCUGGCCGGAUGAAGACUGGUCUAGCAUAAAGACUCUGACGGCACUCUAUUAUAAGAACAGAGUGCUAUGUAGCAAACAUUUUCGAGAUGAUAUGUAUAUUGACAAUGCCAAGAAACGCCUCUCCAAACAUGCAGUACCGGGAACGAAGGAAUAUGUAGCCAAUAUAUUGCAGUCAUUGAAGGCCAAAGUAUCAGUAGAUUCAAUAGUACAACAGGUCAAGUUGUCACUUCAACAUCCUGCGGCUGGUUGUACGACCAAUCUCCGCUAUUGUAAGUAUUUAUUAUUUUUAUGCCACUAUUAUUUAUUAUUUUAUGGCACAUCCUAG